GAUGAAGAACGUAGCGAAAUGCGAUACGUAAUGUGAAUUGCAGAAUUCAGUGAAUCAUCGAGUCUUUGAACGCACAUUGCGCCCCCUGGUAUUCCGGGGGGCAUGCCUGUCCGAGCGUCAUUGCUGCCCUCAAGCACGGCUUGUGUGUUGGGCCUCCGUCCUCCUCCCGGGGGACGGGCCCGAAAGGCAGCGGCGGCACCGCGUCCGGUCCUCGAGCGUAUGGGGCUUCGUCACCCGCUCUUGUAGGCCCGGCCGGCGCUUGCCGACACAUCAAUCUUUUUUCCAGGUUGACCUCGGAUCAGGUAGGGAUACCCGCUGAACUUAAGCAUAUCAAUACGAGGA
RNAcentral lists this unclassified non-coding RNA (342 nucleotides) under soil metagenome. RNAcentral describes it as "partial contains 5.8S ribosomal RNA, internal transcribed spacer 2, and large subunit ribosomal RNA". The stretch from base 1 to 120 matches the Rfam family "5.8S ribosomal RNA", at positions 35 to 154 of the family's 154-position model. The record is from RNAcentral.